RNAcentral lists this ribosomal RNA (429 nucleotides) under bacterium. RNAcentral's name for it is "partial 16S ribosomal RNA". It matches the Rfam family "Bacterial small subunit ribosomal RNA", at positions 355 to 776 of the family's 1533-position model. The record is from RNAcentral.
UAGGGAAUCUUCGGCAAUGGGGGCAACCCUGACCGAGCAACGCCGCGUGAGUGAAGAAGGUUUUCGGAUCGUAAAGCUCUGUUGUAAGAGAAGAACGUGUGUGAGAGUGGAAAGUUCACACAGUGACGGUAACUUACCAGAAAGGGACGGCUAACUACGUGCCAGCAGCCGCGGUAAUACGUAGGUCCCGAGCGUUGUCCGGAUUUAUUGGGCGUAAAGCGAGGGCAGGCGGUUUAAUAAGUCUGAAGUUAAAGGCAGUGGCUUAACCAUUGUUCGCUUUGGAAACUGUUAAACUUGAGUGCAGAAGGGGAGAGUGGAAUUCCAUGUGUAGCGGUGAAAUGCGUAGAUAUAUGGAGGAACACCGGUGGCGAAAGCGGCUCUCUGGUCUGUAACUGACGCUGAGGCUCGAAAGCGUGGGGAGCAAACAGG